GGCAAAUCUUUCAAAGACUCUAGAUCUGUUUGGCAAAGAUCCAUUUCUAAACAUUUUUUGAACAAAUAUCUUAAAAUGAUCAUGUCAUAUGGCUGUAGGCCUUAUCAGUCAGAAUGUUUCUAAAAUUUCUAUAUGCAUAGGAAUUAUCUGAAGAAUGUGCUAAAAAUAUAACUUUCUGAGCUCCACCUCAGAGAUUCUAAGAUGGUGUGGUCUUCUUUGGACCAAGGAAUCUGCAUUUUAAUGGCUUCUUUGUGGGGAGUGAGGUGAUGCUGGUGGAGCUGGCAGGAGCUGGGUGUGGGGAUGUGGGGCGGUUUUGGAUUAGCCAAGUCAGAGCAUGCAAGCAGCAUGGGGUUCUAGUUUGGGCUCAGAGGUCUAGUUUUAGCUCUCAGGGUCACUGUAUGUCCUUGAACGGGCUGCUGUCUCUUCCAUUUCUUUUUGCACUUUCUGUUUUGCACUCAGAGCUUCACACACUGCCCUCUCAGGGGCACCCUGCCUGGCCUCCCAGACCUUGGGAAAUCUGGGUGGAAGCCUUCCUGACCCCACAACUCUUUUGCUGUCUCUUCCUUAUUUUGUUUGGUUUUCCGAAUUGCAUAGCAAAGGCAUUGGACAAAGUCCGUGAGACUGCGCAGCACGUCUUAUCAAAUUUAUGCAGCACUUUCAUCAGUGGACUCUCACAUGGAAACCCAGUGCAUAACGUAAGUAGAGGCAGAGCCAAGGUACAGCAGGAGGACUGGUAUCUGCCCCGCAGUGGAGUCCAGCGUUUCUCUCUGCAGAGCUCAAGGUAUAUAUAUAUUUUUUGAGACAGGGUCUCAAUAUACGGUGCAGGUUGGGCUUGAGCUCACUUUGUAGCCUAGGCUGGUCUCAGACUUACAACAGUCCUCCUGCCUCAGCCACUUGAGUGCUUCCAGGUAUAGUUUGAUGGUCCAUGGAAGACCAGAAAAGGCAGCACAGCUGUGUCUCACUUGAUCAGUACAAACACAAACCCAAGACCCUGUGAGCUGAGGAAGAAAGUCCUCAAGCACGAAGUACUUCUGUUUCCCUCAAUUAACCCUGCACUGAGAGCCACAGUUUAAAGCCUGUGCUGAGAAGUCUUAGUUUGGCAGGAGGAGUUGCUCCCAGUGGGAAGAAAGUCAUCUUGGUGCCCUGUUCUGAAUCUCUCCCCUCUUAGAGACUGAGCCUCUCCCUUGAUAGAGACUGAGCACAGUCUAUGCUUAAUUAUCUUUAAUGAAGAGGAGUGAGGGUGUGAAUAAUCCAAAUGAUGGACAAUCCAAAACAAUGCAUAAUCCUAGGUAACAUUUAUGUUUGACUUUGGAAUGUAUUUUAGUAUUCGUAUUUGAAUAUGGAUGUGUUUGAUAUUCUUGGAAUUGUUAAUACACAGAAUGUAAACUGCACAACCCUUCUCGUCUCCUACUGAGCUGGUGAAGAACAUCACCUUCUUCCUGGCUUAGUGCUAACGCUGGCUGCACCCUCCCUUCCCUAGUGUGUCUGUCUUUCUGGCUCACACCUUCCCUAGAAAGGGAUGGAGAUAUUAACUGGAUUUUUCCUUUAAAGGACUUUCAUUCCCUUUGGGCCUCAUUCAAAUAAGAGCAAAAUAAGAAGCUGUGAAGUGUGAGCAGAGGACUUCAUUAAGCCACCUUGGUCAUAGAAUUUGCCAGGAAUGGGGACAAUUUGCCAACAGAUAAUUGAGAACUGCGUAUAUAUAUAUAUAUAUGCUCUAAUUAAAAAAGUGAUUCUUCUCGCUGCCCUGGGAUUCUGGGCCCACUUUUCUAAUUGGUUCGGGAUAUUAACCACGCCUAACUUUUGCGUACAGUUGAUUCUUCACAAAGUGCUUCAUGUAUGUUAUCUUACUUCAUCACCCUGAUGUAGAGGCUUGAAGCUCACUGCUCCCCUGCAGGACCUCCUCCCACACAGCCUUCUUCAGCCUGACUCUGCCUCGUGUGUCACCACCAAACAGGGGCAUCCUGGCAAGGGCUCUGAUCAUUUGCAUCCAUCCCAGAAUGCAGCAGCAAAGGAAGCAGAACCACCUGGCAAGGACUGCCCUUUGAUCAAGGAGCGAUUUUAUGCUAGAAGCACUUGAGAAAAAGAAGGGGAUACACAGACUGCUGCGAGUGCCUAGGUACCAGGGAUUAAACUCACGACCGCACACUUGCAAGUUCCAGACCCCACAGCACCAACACACAGCGGGCGCCUGGAAAGUGCCUGCAUCCAACGGAAAGGAGACCUCAGGACUCAUAAUCAGCACCGUGAGCACCCAGGCAUGCCCCGUGGCGGGCCUGAGCAGUGGCCAGAGGAAUGCCCGCUUCCUUCUACCUGGGAGCAGCCGCAGCCAGCAGCUCACCUCCGUACCAGCCCCAGCCGAUUCCUGGUCAGCCCUUGGCGAGUGUGGAGGAGGCAGGGUCCAGCCUGAGUUCCUCGUUCCUCGACAUCACAGCUGCUUGUGUGAGCGCGCCGAGAUCCUUUGGCGAAUAACGACUGGGAAGUGCUGCUCCUUACUACUGAGAAGGUGGUUCCUCCUGGUCCAUUUGGUUCGGAGGUGGAGACUAUUACAUUGCUCUAUUUACCCCACACUUGCGACGCAGCUACUGAAAAUCUCACCGCGUCCUACAUUCCAUAGGCCAUUAUGUGUAUUUUAAACCAUUACAUAAAUGGACUUGCUUUGGUACUUCUGAAUGUCAUUAAACCCUCCCCUACCAGUGGCAACACUGUUUCCAUAGAGACGAUGCAUUUUGGAAGGGAAGGCGCAGGGGAGAAGAUGGACUAGGGAGGAAGCUCAGCCUCUUGAUGGCUGCCUCCAAUGCCAGGGGCCCAGUGCUGCGACAGGAUGGCUCCAGGGAGGUGAGCAAGCUCCUCCAGGGUUUUAUUGACUUUCCUUUGAUAGGAGCCCUGGAUAGUUCAUCUCAGACUGUGCUGUUCAUUCCAGUGCACAGCUUUGAAAACUUUAUGGCACUGCAGGCCAUUAAGCACCCUCAUUUAUUCCACUCCUGUGUGCCUGCCUUGGACCCUGGGGAGAGCCAGAUGAGGGCUCUGGGGAUUCAGUGAAUUCAGGGAAGCUUCGAGGCUGGAGAGAAGGAGCCCAGUGGAGAGAGGAAGCCUCCUGCAGACACUGGGGAGUCCUCAGGGUCUUGCCAGUGGUUGUUACCCAAGUCACUGGGUCUUCUUGCCAUCAGUGCAGCUGGGGUGUCAGGAUGAAGACUUCAGGUUGAAGGGUGUUAUGUUUGGAACCCCUUUAUGAGAAUAUGGCUGAAGAGUGGCCUGUGGCUUUGGUAGGCAGCUGGCUUGUGGUCUUUGAAGAGGCUUCAGGAUAGAGUGCAAGGGUCUCAUAAUAAAGACUGCUAAACAUCA
Cavia porcellus (domestic guinea pig) is the source of this 3342-nucleotide long non-coding RNA. RefSeq lists it as uncharacterized. The transcript has 3 exons. Lineage: Eukaryota; Metazoa; Chordata; Mammalia; Rodentia; Caviidae. The record is from RefSeq and is a predicted model, not a curated record.